AUGCGCAGGCGUCGUCGGUCGCAGCGUCAUUGUCGUUUUCCCCACAGUAUGACGAACUAUCGCGCGCUCAGCCGACUCAUUUUCAGUUUAAUUUGUGUAUUUACAUAGUGCUGUUGACGAUUGAACUCCUGUAGAAUAAUAAACUAAUGUUUUACAUUCUACGUAGACACAAGUAAAAGAAAUAUCAAGAUGGGCAUCUGCUUUUCUUUCGACUGUGGGGACUGCGAUAUCUGUUGCAACCCGUGUUGUAUGGCGUUGAGUGCGUGCUGUCUGAUCCCUUGCUUGUGUCCAAACGCGUGUGGUCAGCAGCAACAACCGCCGCAGACAGUGGUGGUCCACCAGCCACCAGUGGUGGUCGAGCAGCCUCCGCCCCCGCCAGGAUACUACGGGCCGCCCCCGCCGGGUGCCUACCCAGGCUACCAACCAGGAUACCCACCCCCACACGGCUACCCCCACCCACAACCAGGCUACCAGCAGUACCCUGACUAUUCAGUAGCAAGAUAAUCUCUAGUUAAGAAUGGGUUGUAACAUCUCGUGCCGUCCUUGUUGCUGCUGCUGUAUUCCGUGCCUGUGCUGCGACUGCUGCGGCGACCCCCCUGAGCGGCACGUCCACCACCAUCAUGUCACUACCGUCCAGCAACCACCUGUAAUUGUCAACCAGCCACCACCACCGUACAGAUAAAUUAUGAUAACUUCAAGACGGCACUACACUGUUGGCCUUGAGCGCGGUUUUUCGACGUACUUACAUAUGCAUUGCUUGGUACAUAUAGUGAGCUUUGGAACAUUACAAAGAAAAACUAAUCAAGGUACGUCGAUUAGCCAUUAUGGCCGACGUGUAUCCAUACAUCAAGUUAUCCAUUGCCCCGACUGUAAUAUUUUUUAUUAGCCUAUGGUAGAAAGAUGGCCAGGCUUUGCUCUGUAGUGGGACACACCUACAAGCUAAAAAAACAAUAGUAUUCCACUACUAGGAUUCAUAUCGUAUAAAAUGACCUAAAAUAAGUAGCUUCAAAAAUUAAGAUAAAUUCCGAAAUUAUAUAUAAUUAUUUUCUGGUACGAGGAGUAUCUACUUAUUUUUUGUUAAAAAAAUAAGGCAAACAUAUGAUUACUCUGUUCAUAUGUAUACUUGCACGCAGUCAAAAAUUGGUAUGUAACAAAAGCUCAAAGAGUUUACGUUUUAAGGAAUGCAUAUAGGAGUUUACGUUUUAAGACUGUAAAUCGAUAAAUAAAUUUAAAAUGUUUUUCACUUAUUAACUAAGACUUUUUAACAUUCUUCUAAAAUCUGAAUAUGUUAUUCUAUUGUUUUUAUCUAAUAAAAUCUUGUUGGCGCAAAACGGACAGGCAAAGGAAUAUACAUAGAUAUAAUGUACGAUACCGAUGAGAACUUAUUAUAAUGUUCAACUAAUUUUUCAGACAUGUUUUUGUUCUAUAAAAGUGUGGAGAAAUCAUGAUGUAAAAGUCCAACUAGUAACGGGUUACCCAGGAUUGCAUGAAUAUAGUCAUUAAUAUUUUUGUCGUCAGGGUGUAAAUAUGUAUUUCUGACUUUUGUUCUAGUUAUUUUUUGGCAAAUUCUUCUGUUAAUUGAUCGUUAGGCAUAAAGAGUGUGUUAUGUUAUUUAGGUAAUUUUUAAUGUAAAUUUUGUAAUAUUUCAAGUAUAAGGAUACACAGCUUUGACCAUUGUUAUAUCUAUAUAAUGUCUUAUUUGUGCUCCUAAUUAUUAUAGCUACCUACAUCAUAUAUAGUUUUAGGACAUAAAAUAAAUACAAAUUAAAAUACAGGUUACUAGACUUGUCAGGAGGUCUGGUAUUUAAUCUUAAGUACAUAAAUGAAUAUAUACUACCUUUAUUGAAAUUUAUUGUACAUGCUAGAUUUAAGUAGUAAUUUAAGAUGUAUGUAGCCUAUUGUGUGUGAUGCACGAUUAGCUGGUAUGCAUUUUGUAAAGUAUAUAACGAAAUAAAUAUUUUAAAUACCUAUAUCUAGUGUAUUAUAAGUCAAACGUUGCGUUUGUAUUCUUGACCCCUUUACGAACAAAUAAAAAAAAAAUAGAAAAUUUGAAAAUAGAAUGCUAGGCUGUGAUUAUACAACUAACACGCUUAACUUUCAAAUUCAUGGAAUGAUAUAUAGUAUAGAAUGGUCUUAUACUAAAGCGCUUCAAUAUAUUGUGGUUUUCGGUAAUAUAUUUUCCGGGUGCUUCUUUUAAAGCAGGAAUAACUGUAUUAGCAGCUCUCUCUUUCUCAUCUGAGGGUUGUCCGGUUAACUCUUCAGUCCUUGAACGUCGGAGCCUAGAGUCACUUCACACGGUCGCCGCUAUAUUAUUUCAUUACUUAAUAAACAUCAAUUAUAAAUCGAUCAGGGUAAAACAGACCAAGGCUCUCUAAUCUCUCUCUAUCUCGUAAACCGUAAACAAAGAAAACACAUUAUAAUUCCAUAAAAAAGUAAAUUCUUUGAUUUUAAAUUAUGUUCAGAAACAAGGCGAUAAAUCAAACCUCGAAAACGAAAUAAAAGCAAUUACCUACUUAGUUCUUAUCAUAAUAAAAUCUCGUCAAGUAUCGAACACGACAUUAUUCACACUGUUCGGGGCAAUGUAAUAAAUAAGGAAGAUUUAUAGCUAUAUAUUAUUUAUUUCGCUUAAAAUGGUAUAUUCAAAGCGGGCAUUAUCAAUAAUGUCUUAAUUACUUGGUUAAUAACAUAGACGGUUAACCUGGAAUAAUAGGGACUUUUUAUCCUGAAAUCCCUACUAAGCAUUGAGGCGCAGCUAAUAAUGUAUCUUUUACUUAUAAGAAUAAUAAAAACAUGGUUGGUAACACGGUAGCCAUGUCUUCCCAAAGGGACAUUGAAAUAAACCUGUGAUGCGUAUGGACAACUCGUUUUCAAUUGUUUUUUACUCAAUCCGUCCACACAAAUGUUUUCGACGACCUUACUGUGCUAUUGUUGCAAGCAAGAAUCAAUUUGAAGCAGGCGCACGUAGCGGACGCAUCAAUUUAACAAGUGAAAUUCGUGAACAAACCGUUUUCCAAUCCAUUGAUAACUACCACAGUUGAUAAGAGAUAUCUACCGUUGUUUUUACCAAAUAUAUACCGAUUAUGUGUGUGCCUAGUGUCUAUGGUGAAGCAGUUAUUUAGGAUGGGUUUCAAAAUAACAGUGAGACCUUUCUGUUGCUGCUUCGUCCCCUGCAUUUGCUGCAAGUGCGUCUGCGAGUCCGAUGACAGCGAGUUCCCUCGCGUGUCUGCGGUCAGCCGUCCCGUCACAGAGCCACCCCCGGCCUACGGCGACGUGCCCCUGAAGACCGAUUUUCCUCCACCUUACUCAGAAACGCCUGAAAGAAGUGAUGAUAAAUGAUUUUCGAGUCUGAUGGAUGGGAGCAUGUUUUGAUGUUUAUCGUGUUGCGGUAACCCUCCUAAGCACCUCGGCCCGGGCGAACCUUCCCACCGUGGACCCUCUCACCAUGGACCUCUCCAUCUCGGACGUCCUGGGCUCCAUGGACCUGGACCAGGUCAAUGAAAAAAUGAAGCCUCAUUUCCUUUUUUUUUACAAAUUAUAAAGUCAGUCUUGUGUUGUGUCGAAUUUCACAUGCUUUUAAGUUAGGUGUUAAAUGGAAGUACUAAUAGAACUUUAUGAAAAAUUAAAUAUGUGUUAUAAUAAAAAGUAAAUACUACAA
This is a long non-coding RNA of Plodia interpunctella (Indianmeal moth), 3655 nucleotides long. RefSeq lists it as uncharacterized. NCBI's taxonomy places the organism in Eukaryota, Metazoa, Arthropoda, Insecta, Lepidoptera, Pyralidae. The transcript has 5 exons. The record is from RefSeq and is a predicted model, not a curated record.